This 253-nucleotide ribosomal RNA is filed under the name uncultured bacterium. RNAcentral describes it as "partial 16S ribosomal RNA". It matches the Rfam family "Bacterial small subunit ribosomal RNA", at positions 524 to 776 of the family's 1533-position model. The record is from RNAcentral.
UACGUAGGGGGCAAGCGUUGUCCGGAAUCAUUGGGCGUAAAGAGCGUGUAGGCGGCUUGGCAAGUCUGACGUGAAAGCCCGCGGCUCAACCGCGGAUUGUCGUUGGAAACUGCCUCGCUAGAGUCCGGAAGAGGAGAGCGGAAUUCCUGGUGUAGCGGUGGAAUGCGCAGAUAUCAGGAAGAACACCCGUGGCGAAGGCGGCUCUCUGGGACGGUACUGACGCUGAGACGCGAAAGCGUGGGGAGCAAACAGG